RNAcentral lists this ribosomal RNA (1314 nucleotides) under Acnemia nitidicollis. Its description in RNAcentral is "16S ribosomal RNA". The record is from RNAcentral. Lineage: Eukaryota; Metazoa; Arthropoda; Insecta; Diptera; Mycetophilidae.
GUUAAAUUAUUAAUAUUUAUAAAAAAAAUAAUUUUUUUUUGUAAAAUAUUUUUUGUAUUAUUUAAAGAUAAAAUAAUUUUAAUUAUAGAUGAUUUUUAUUGAAAAAGAAAUUUGAAAUAUUAUGAAAAUAAUAAAAAUAAAAAAGAAAAUAUUAUUAUUGUACCUUGUGUAUCAGGGUUUAUUAAUUAAAAAAUAAUAAUAAUUAUUUUUCUCGAUUUAAAAAGAUUUAAUAUUAUAAUUUAAAUAAUGUAGCAUAAUUAUUAAAAAUUUAAUAUUGGAAAUGAAACGUUAUUCGUUUUUUAUGGUAUCUAGUUUUUUUAGAAAUAAAUUUAAUUUAUAUAAAAUAAAUAAUUUUAUUUAAUUUUUUAAAUAAAAUUUUUAUUCUAUAAAUAUUUUAAGGGAUAAGCUUUAAAUUAAAUUUUUAUAAUUUUUAAAAAAAAAUUAAUAAAUAUAAGCUUAGAAUUAGUUAUUAAUAAAAAGUAUUUAAUAAUUUAUUUUAAAUUAUUAAUAUUAAUUUAUUAAAAAUUUAAAUUAUUUAUAAAAAUGUAAAUUUUAAUAAUAAAAAUUUAGGAAUAAUGAUAAAAUUAGUAUAAAAAAUUAUAUAUUAUAAAUAUUUUUAUAAAUAUUUUUAUAAAUAACUCGGCAAUUAUAAUAUUCACCUGUUUAUCAAAAACAUGUCUUUUUGUAUUUUAUUUAAAGUCUAACCUGCCCAUUGAAAUAUAUUUUAAAGGCUGCGGUAUUUUGACCGUACAAAGGUAGCAUAAUAAUUAGUUUUUUAAUUGAAAGCUUGUAUGAAUGGUUGAAUGAAAUAUUAACUGUUUCUUAAAAAUUUAAUAGAAUUUUAUUUUUUAGUUAAAAAGCUAAAAUUUUUUUUAAAGACGAGAAGACCCUAUAGAGUUUUAUAUUUUAUAAAAUUAAUUUAUUUAAAAAUUGUUUAAUUUUUUUUAAAAAAAUAUUUUGUUGGGGUGAUAAUAAAAUUUAAUAACCUUUUAUUUUAUUUUUACAAUUAUUUUUGAUUAAUUGAUCCAAUUUUAUUGAUUAAAAGAUUAAAUUACCUUAGGGAUAACAGCGUAAUUUUUUUUUAGAGUUCUUAUCGAUAAAAAUUUUUGCGACCUCGAUGUUGGAUUAAGAAUAAUAUUAGGUGUAGAAGUUUAAUUAUUAAGUCUGUUCGACUUUUAAAUUCUUACAUGAUCUGAGUUCAAACCGGUGUGAGCCAGGUUGGUUUCUAUCUUAAAUUAUUUAUUAUAUUUUAGUACGAAAGGACCAAUUAUAAAAUAUUUUUUUAUAUUUAUAUUUAUUGAAUAAAAUUAAUUA